GUUUUCUGAAAUAGCUCUUUAUCUUUUUGAAUUUUUGGCAGUUAUGGUAGAAAAUCACUUCCACUGUAAAUUGUUGAAACACUAUCUAAAUUAUGACUAAAAGGCAUAUAACUGAGAAUGAGAACAAGCCUCAAAGAAAGACAAGCUUGGUUUAUAUAAUAACCUCUCUUGCUGAAGGAAGAGCAUGGAGAAAUGAAGACACAGCUUUGUUUAACCUUUUAAAGUCUAUGUUACAUGUCAUGCACAACAACAAGACAUUCAAAAUAAAUGGAAUUUGACCCUAAAUUAAAAAAAAAUCGAAUUGAGCAAUCCAGUUUUCUUCGUUAGAGUAGAAGAUCACAGAGGUGCAAGAGGAUAAAUAUGAUGCAUAUAAAAACAGAGAGAGAUUUUUCUUUUGCUUUAUCAGCUCAGGGGGCCUGAGAACAAUGGCACUCCCAUUAGGC
Molecule: long non-coding RNA, 443 nt
Filed under: Fukomys damarensis (Damara mole-rat)
Lineage: Eukaryota; Metazoa; Chordata; Mammalia; Rodentia; Bathyergidae
Description: lncRNA (ENSFDAG00000025637.1)
Source: RNAcentral